CUUAACACAUGCAAGUCGAGGGGCAGCAUGGUCUUAGCUUGCUAAGGCCGAUGGCGACCGGCGCACGGGUGAGUAACACGUAUCCAACCUGCCGUCUACUCUUGGACAGCCUUCUGAAAGGAAGAUUAAUACAAGAUGGCAUCAUGAGUCCGCAUGUUCACAUGAUUAAAGGUAUUCCGGUAGACGAUGGGGAUGCGUUCCAUUAGAUAGUAGGCGGGGUAACGGCCCACCUAGUCUUCGAUGGAUAGGGGUUCUGAGAGGAAGGUCCCCCACAUUGGAACUGAGACACGGUCCAAACUCCUACGGGAGGCAGCAGUGAGGAAUAUUGGUCAAUGGGCGAGAGCCUGAACCAGCCAAGUAGCGUGAAGGAUGACUGCCCUAUGGGUUGUAAACUUCUUUUAUAAAGGAAUAAAGUCGGGUAUGCAUACCCGUUUGCAUGUACUUUAUGAAUAAGGAUCGGCUAACUCCGUGCCAGCAGCCGCGGUAAUACGGAGGAUCCGAGCGUUAUCCGGAUUUAUUGGGUUUAAAGGGAGCGUAGAUGGAUGUUUAAGUCAGUUGUGAAAGUUUGCGGCUCAACCGUAAAAUUGCAGUUGAUACUGGAUAUCUUGAGUGCAGUUGAGGCAGGCGGAAUUCGUGGUGUAGCGGUGAAAUGCUUAGAUAUCACGAAGAACUCCGAUUGCGAAGGCAGCCUGCUAAGCUGCAACUGACAUUGAGGCUCGAAAGUGUGGGUAUCAAACAGGAUUAGAUACCCUGGUAGUCCACACGGUAAACGAUGAAUACUCGCUGUUUGCGAUAUACAGCAAGCGGCCAAGCGAAAGCGUUAAGUAUUCCACCUGGGGAGUACGCCGGCAACGGUGAAACUCAAAGGAAUUGACGGGGGCCCGCACAAGCGGAGGAACAUGUGGUUUAAUUCGAUGAUACGCGAGGAACCUUACCCGGGCUUAAAUUGCAGAUGAAUUACGGUGAAAGCCGUAAGCCGCAAGGCAUCUGUGAAGGUGCUGCAUGGUUGUCGUUAGCUCGUGCCGUGAGGUGUCGGCUUAAGUGCCAUAACGAGCGCAACCCUUGUUGUCAGUUACUAACAGGUCAUGCUGAGGACUCUGACAAGACUGCCAUCGUAAGAUGUGAGGAAGGUGGGGAUGACGUCAAAUCAGCACGGCCCUUACGUCCGGGCUACACACGUGUUACAAUGGGGGGUACAGAGGGCCGCUACCACGCGAGUGGAUGCCAAUCCCCAAAACCUCUCUCAGUUCGGACUGGAGUCUGCAACCCGACUCCACGAAGCUGGAUUCGCUAGUAAUCGCGCAUCAGCCACGGCGCGGUGAAUACGUUCCCGGGCCUUGUACACACCGCCCGUCAAGCCAUGGGAGCCGGGGGUACCUGAAGUGCGUAACCGCGAGGAGCGCCCUAGGGUAAAACUGGUGACUGGGGCUAAGUCAUAAC
RNAcentral lists this ribosomal RNA (1440 nucleotides) under uncultured organism. RNAcentral's name for it is "SSU rRNA". It matches the Rfam family "Bacterial small subunit ribosomal RNA". The record is from RNAcentral.